Molecule: unclassified non-coding RNA, 288 nt
Organism: Oryctolagus cuniculus (rabbit)
Lineage: Eukaryota; Metazoa; Chordata; Mammalia; Lagomorpha; Leporidae
Rfam family: Metazoan signal recognition particle RNA
About the family: The signal recognition particle (SRP) is a universally conserved ribonucleoprotein. It is involved in the co-translational targeting of proteins to membranes.
Source: Ensembl
UUUGGGGCAAGUGCGCCUGUAGUCCCUCCCAGCUACUUGGGAGGCUGAGGCCAGAGGAUUGCUUGAGUCCAGGAGUUCUGGGCUAUCGUGCGCUAUGCCGAUUGGGUGUCCGCACUAAGUUCAGCAUCAAUAUGGUGACCUCCCGGGAGCGGGUGACCACCACGUUGCCUAAGGAGGGGUGAACUGGCACAAGUCAGAAACGGAGCAGGUCAAAACUCCCGUGCUGAUCAGUUAGUACUUUUUUAGCCUUACCUUACCUAAGUUAUAAUAUUUAAAAUUUUGUAUUAU